This 336-nucleotide ribosomal RNA is filed under the name uncultured eukaryote. Its description in RNAcentral is "partial 18S ribosomal RNA". It matches the Rfam family "Eukaryotic small subunit ribosomal RNA", at positions 592 to 976 of the family's 1831-position model. The record is from RNAcentral.
CAAUAGCGUAUAUUAAAGUUGUUGCAGUUAAAAAGCUCGUAGUUGAAACUCCGGCGUUUUUGCGCCUGUCUGGUAGAGUCGCUUUACUGUAAAAGGUUUGGCGGCUUCGAACAGACAUUUACCGUGAACAAAUUAAAGUGCUUAAAGCAGGCUUUUGCUUGAAUAGUUUAGCAUGGAAUAAUAGAAUACGACCUUAUUCAUUUUAUUGGUUAUUGAAUAAAGUAAUGAUUAACAGGAACAGUUGGGGGCAUCCGUAUUUGAAAGUCAGAGGUAAAAUUCUUUUAUCUUUCAAAGACGAACUAAAGCGAAAGCAUUUGCCAAGGAUGUUUNCAUUAA